AGUUUAAAAUUAAUAUUUAAUUAGUAAAAAAAAUAUUUUUAUAAUAAGUAUAUUAAAGAAUAUAAAAUUUUGUAUUAUAGUUAAAGUAUUGUGAAAGGUUAUUGAAAUAAGAUGAAAUUUAUAUUAGGUUAAAGAAAAAUUUAAUUUUUGUACCUUGGGUAUCAGGGUUUAUUAAAAUAAUUUAAAAAUUUAGGGUUCUCGAAUUAAGAAGAGUUAAUAUUUUAUAGAUUUAAUUGUAGAAAAAAUUUUUAUAAUAUAGUAUUAGGAAUGAAAUGUUAGUCGUUUUUUAAGAUAUCUAGUUUUUUAAGAAAUAAAUUUAAUUUUGUUUAUAUGUUUUAUUAGUUGAUUUUUUAAUAAGGUAAAUAUAUAAAAUAAUAUUUUAAGGGAUAAGCUUUAAAAUAAAUUAUUAUAAUUAAAAUUUUAAGUAUUAAAUAAGUGUAGGAUUGGAAUUUUUUAUCUAUAGUAUGUUAUAAUUAAUUUUUAUUAUUAGUAAGAUUUAUAUUUAAUUUAAAUUAUUUAUUAAAUUAGUGUAUGUAUUUGGGUAUUAUAUGAAAUAAUGAUAGAAUUAGUAUAUUUUAAUGUUAAGUUAAUUUACAAGGUAAAGGUUAAUUUAAGGAACUCGGCAAAUUAUUUUCCGCCUGUUUAUUAAAAACAUGUCUUUUUGAUUAUAAUUUAAAGUCUGACCUGCCCAAUGAGGAGUUAAAUGGCCGCGGUAUUUUGACCGUGCAAAGGUAGCAUAAUCAUUAGUUUUUUAAUUGAAAGCUGGAAUGAACGGUUGGACGAGAAAAUUACUGUCUCAAUUUAAUUUAAAUUAGAAUUUUAUUUUUAAGUAAGAAAGCUUAAAUAAUUUUAAAAGACGAGAAGACCCUAUAGAGUUUUAUAUUUUUAUAAAUAUAAGAUAUAAAGAAAUAUUAAUAAUUUAUAUUUAUAAAAAUAUUUUAUUGGGGCGAUAGAAAAAUUAAAUUAACUUUUUUUUAUUUAGACCAUUGAUUUAUGAGUAGUUGAUCCAUAAUUUAUGAUUAUAAGAUAAAAUUACCUUAGGGAUAACAGCGUUAUUUUUUUUGAGAGUUCAUAUCGAAAAAAGAGUUUGCGACCUCGAUGUUGGAUUAAAAUAAACUUUUGGUGGAGAAGCUAGAAAGUUAGGUCUGUUCGACCUUUAAAAUUUUACAUGAUCUGAGUUUAGACCGGCGUGAGCCAGGUUGGUUUCUAUCUUUAAAUAUAUAAAAUAUUUUAGUACGAAAGGACCAAAUAUUUAUAAUAUUUAUUUGUAAUAUGAUUAUUAUU
Molecule: ribosomal RNA, 1284 nt
Filed under: Mecynorhina polyphemus
Lineage: Eukaryota; Metazoa; Arthropoda; Insecta; Coleoptera; Scarabaeidae
Description: 16S ribosomal RNA
Rfam family: Archaeal large subunit ribosomal RNA (bases 595-1284)
Source: RNAcentral